AAAACGAAAGGCAAUGAAGUCUGCCUGAAACGCCCUCACGUUCUGGGAUGAUGACUUCUACUCACGC
This 67-nucleotide non-coding RNA is filed under the name Desulfacinum hydrothermale. RNAcentral's name for it is "Fluoride sequence". It matches the Rfam family "Fluoride riboswitch aptamer (crcB RNA motif)". The record is from RNAcentral. Lineage: Bacteria; Pseudomonadati; Thermodesulfobacteriota; Syntrophobacteria; Syntrophobacterales; Syntrophobacteraceae. RNAcentral also lists the same sequence under 1 other name.